RNAcentral lists this ribosomal RNA (521 nucleotides) under uncultured bacterium. RNAcentral's name for it is "bacterial SSU rRNA". It matches the Rfam family "Bacterial small subunit ribosomal RNA", at positions 1 to 523 of the family's 1533-position model. The record is from RNAcentral.
GGAAGAGUUUGAUCCUGGCUCAGAUUGAACGCUGGCGGCAUGCCUUACACAUGCAAGUCGAACGGUAACAGGUCUUCGGAUGCUGACGAGUGGCGAACGGGUGAGUAAUACAUCGGAACGUGCCCGAUCGUGGGGGAUAACGCAAGGAAAGCUGUGCUAAUACCGCAUACGAUCUACGGAUGAAAGCGGGGGAUCGCAAGACCUCGCGCGGACGGAGCGGCCGAUGGCAGAUUAGGUAGUUGGUGGGAUAAAAGCUUACCAAGCCGACGAUCUGUAGCUGGUCUGAGAGGACGACCAGCCACACUGGGACUGAGACACGGCCCAGACUCCUACGGGAGGCAGCAGUGGGGAAUUUUGGACAAUGGGCGCAAGCCUGAUCCAGCCAUGCCGCGUGCAGGAUGAAGGCCUUCGGGUUGUAAACUGCUUUUGUACGGAACGAAAAAGCUCUCUCUAAUACAGGGGGUGAAUGACGGUACCGUAAGAAUAAGCACCGGCUAACUACGUGCCAGCAGCCGCGGUAA